Molecule: long non-coding RNA, 1071 nt
Filed under: Chloebia gouldiae (Gouldian finch)
Lineage: Eukaryota; Metazoa; Chordata; Aves; Passeriformes; Passeridae
Description: Erythrura gouldiae (Gouldian finch) lncRNA (ENSEGOG00005009711.1)
Source: RNAcentral
UUUUGUUUUUUGUUUUUUAGUACAAGGCAAAGCCUUUAUUCCAACUUUUCAUUCCUAGGGAUACAACAUCUGAAGGACACACAUGGGGAUAAAAAAAGUAAUAUUGUUAUAAAAUGUCACAUUUAUUGCUACAUUACUGUUAUAUACAGGACAGUUCUCAAAAUCUACUUUAAAAAAGUUAGGAUUAUUUAAAAAUUCCAAAUAAUCCAGCCAGCUGUUUUGACACUUGUAUAAAAUUAUUUAAAAAAAUGAAAACAAUUCAUAUCUUGAGGCACUCAGAAACACAAUUUCAUCCCCCAAUUGUGAUUCAUUUCAAAGAGCAAUGCAUUUCCCACCCCCAAAUACUUUAUUUUUUUUUUUUGCUGGGUUAGGCAUAUAUAUAUAUAUAUUUACUAUAUAUAUAGUUCAAAACUAUAAUGUGUAUCUGAUUUAAGAACAAGGAUUUCAGCCACUUAAGUACAUCUGGAUUUACAGGUAGGCAGCAUAAACAUCAAAAGCAAGGACCAUUUUUUAUUUUAAAGGCCAAAAACCAAAAACAACCCAUAACUUUCUACAGGGUUAAAAAUAAACAACUUCUGCAGGCAUUUCCCAUCUGCUCUCCCACCCCCCAUUCCUACAAAAAUAUAAAGAACAUCCCAGGAAUGCUUUGUUUCCCCAGAGAGCUGGAGCACCCAACAGGUCAUUCCCAGCACUGGGAUCGUCCCUGUCCUGCCUCACCAGGCACCUCUUUCCCCUCUCCUGGUCCCAGCACUGGGAUCGUCCCUGUCCUGCCUCAGCAGGCGCCUCUUUCCCCUCUCCUGGCACAGGGACAGAGGCUGCUGCGUGGCUUCCCACGGUUCCUUCCCUCCCAGGUGCCUCCAUGCUGCAAGGUUUGCUCAAAAGCUGGGGGGUUCAAGUCAUUUGGGAAGACGUGGCCCUGCAAGGGGGACCCGCAGCGUCCCCAGCUCGCUGCCUCCAGGAGCUCCACGCUCGGCGGGCACGGCCCCGGGAUGUGGGGCACAGCUCAGGGAUGUGGGGCACAGCUCAGGGAUGUGGGGCACAGCUCAGGGCACAGCUCAGGGAUGUGGGGCA